RNAcentral lists this long non-coding RNA (343 nucleotides) under Gossypium raimondii (Peruvian cotton). Its description in RNAcentral is "long non-coding RNA (GRAI_LNC009868)". The record is from RNAcentral. Lineage: Eukaryota; Viridiplantae; Streptophyta; Magnoliopsida; Malvales; Malvaceae.
GUGGUUGGGCAUGGCGGAAGGAAAAGGAGGGGAUGAUUAAGGGUUUUGGUGGCUAAAAAUGAUGGGGUAAGGACAAUCGACAAUAGGCUAGGAUGACGCUAGCGAGCAUGAGGUCUUGAAGGGAAAAAACGAUGGUCGACGAUUUGUGAGGAGGUUGACGACGAGAGGGACGGAUGAGGGGUUAGAGGACGUCGAGGAAAGGGCGACGAGAGGGGUUGAAGGACGGGGAAAAAAGGAAGGGAGACAAUAGGCGAACGGCGACGUGAGUGAGGAGAAAGGGAGAGGAAGUGAAAAGAAAAAAUUCAAGUUAAAAAGAAUGGCACGGGCGUGUGUGAGGACCAUG